Molecule: ribosomal RNA, 223 nt
Filed under: uncultured bacterium
Lineage: Bacteria
Description: partial 16S ribosomal RNA
Rfam family: Bacterial small subunit ribosomal RNA
Source: RNAcentral
UACGGAGGGGGCUAGCGUUGUUCGGAAUUACUGGGCGUAAAGCGCGCGUAGGCGGCUUUGUAAGUUAGAGGUGAAAGCCCGGAGCUCAACUCCGGAACUGCCUUUAAGACUGCAUCGCUAGAACGAUGGAGAGGUAAGUGGAAUUCCGAGUGUAGAGGUGAAAUUCGUAGAUAUUCGGAAGAACACCAGUGGCGAAGGCGACUUACUGGACAUCUGUUGACGC